Molecule: ribosomal RNA, 253 nt
Filed under: uncultured bacterium
Lineage: Bacteria
Description: partial 16S ribosomal RNA
Rfam family: Bacterial small subunit ribosomal RNA
Source: RNAcentral
UACGGAGGAUGCAAGCGUUAUCCAGAAUGAUUGGGCGUAAAGCGUCCGCAGGUGGCUAUGUAAGUCUGCUGUUAAAGAGUGAGGCUCAACCUCAUAAGAGCAGUGGAAACUACAUGGCUAGAGUGCGUUCGGGGCAGAGGGAAUUCCUGGUGUAGCGGUGAAAUGCGUAGAUAUCAGGAAGAACACCGGUGGCGAAAGCGCUCUGCUAGGCCGCAACUGACACUGAGGGACGAAAGCUAGGGGAGCGAAUGGG